Molecule: long non-coding RNA, 1851 nt
Organism: Oreochromis niloticus (Nile tilapia)
Lineage: Eukaryota; Metazoa; Chordata; Actinopteri; Cichliformes; Cichlidae
Exons: 4
Source: RefSeq, a predicted model, not a curated record
UAGAAAUUUUUCACACCAGCCUAUUAAUCAACCAAAGACCAUUCUUAAAGAUGGCGGCGCGAGCAGUCACUGCAGCCCGGCGCUUUCCUCAACUUAGCGGUUUUCUUUUUAUUUUGUGUAUUUUUGUUUCACUUUUCCUCCGACAUGCAGGAGCACAUAUGCAGCACAGCAAAACUGAACUGCUUGCGGUUCUAAACUACAAAAACCUGCACAUCUUCGCUGACAAUGACUGGGACUCAAUUCCCCCUGAGAUCCGGAGGGUCACUAACUCUAAUUUCACCAUACCACCGCUGAAGUGGCGUAGGUGACGGAGGCACAGGAAACAGAAGAGAGGGAAGAGAGCGGGGCUAAAGGCUAGGCUACGUGCUAACCCACACGGACCGGCUAUUCCGAGUCUCUUCCUCACCAACUCACGGUCACUAAAUAACAAGAUGGAUGAGCUACGACUGCAGAUCACCUCACGCUGUUUGGAUUACUGUCUUAUGAUCAUCACAGAGACUUGGCUGGACUCUUUUACCCCAGACACUGCGAUUGAGCUAGCGGGUCACGCUACAUUCAGAGCAGACAGGAACAAAGAGUCCGUUUUGCUCCCCUAACCCUAACCCAGGCCUGGAGAGUCCCUGCCUUGGAGCCAGCCACACCUGUGAUAAUCACUCACCUGUUGCUGAUCCGCCUAAUCAAGGGGCUCUACUUAAGACAGCAGUGGAGCAGCAGUCCGCGCGGGAUUGUUAAACUAGAAAUACAGGUGAUUACGGAAACGUGUGGAGGGAGCAGUACACAGUUGAACACAGGCACCGAGGAGGACGAAGCACUACCACGCAUCACGGAGAGGAAUCACGGCACGGGGAAUUGGGAAAGCACACACUGUGGAUUGUUGGCACUGUUUUCCGUAUCUACCCCGGACCUUUCCCUGCCUGCCUGUUAUCGUGUGGACGAGUGAGUGGAUUUGUGUUGCCCCAUUGUGGAGAGAGAAGAGAGAGCCAUUGGAGUGUGUCUGAAUCCCGUCCUUCCCCUCACAUGCCCCGGAGCCCUGGACCCCCCUCCCCUCCCUCCAGCACGUUGUAAAUAGUAUCACCUGGUGUCGUUUGUACUAAUAAACUGUCAACUCUGCUAGGAUUCCCGGUCUGCGCCUGAGUCCAUUAACUAAGACGUGACACAGAGAGCCAUGGAAACUCAGUGUGCCAUUAAACUUGGAAGAAGUUGAACAAAGUGGAACAGAGUCGAGUUCUCCUGUUGUUGAAAAUGUUUAGUUUUAAGUGUUUCUGCCUCCACUCAUGCUGGGUUACCAAAGAAAUGACCAAGCAGUAUAAUUUGGAAACAGAAGCACAUCACAAACCGUAGUGCAAAAAUAUAUUAGCCAAACAUGCUGUCACAUAAGUGCACCCUGUGGCAUCCCAGCUUGAACUGCAUCCCUUUACAACAGCACCAAGCUGUAAGGAAGAAAUAAUCCGGUGUAUGUGUCUCACAGAAGGCUUCACCAGCAUCUCAAGGUCGACUGGUCCACAGUCCAGGACCAUACAUGGGUGUGAGGAACUAACUUAACACCUGAACGUCACAACAAGCAGUCAGAGGAAGCAAUCUGAUCUUCAUCAUUUUCAUGCACAUCCAUUACAUCCAUUACAAACACCUACGUCAUCAUGGCAACUGGUGUGACCAUGAUCUUUUUCAAAAAGGAGCGUCCACGCAGGAAAUGAUGUCGGGAAAAAUGACCCAACAUUAACCUAUCCUCUCCUAUUCAUAGUCUUUUAUUUUAGGUCACGAGCAGUUGUCUAAGCAUUUCACUGCAUAUCGUACUGUGUAUGUGACAAAUAAAAGUUGAAUUUGAAUUAACCAAGCAACAUGUUUUUACUU